CCGUACACCAAAAUGCACAGGUUGUGAACUCGAAGAGUAGGGCGGGACACGUGGUAUCCUGUCUGAAUAUGGGGGGACCAUCCUCCAAGGCUAAAUACUCCUGACUGACCGAUAGUGAACCAGUACCGUGAGGGAAAGGCGAAAAGAACCCCGGCGAGGGGAGUGAAAAAGAACCUGAAACCGUGUACGUACAAGCAGUGGGAGCACCUUCGGGUGUGACUGCGUACCUUUUGUAUAAUGGGUCAGCGACUUAUAUUCUGUAGCAAGGUUAACCGUAUAGGGGAGCCGCAGGGAAACCGAGUCUUAACUGGGCGUUAAGUUGCAGGGUAUAGACCCGAAACCCGGUGAUCUAGCCAUGGGCAGGUUGAAGGUUGGGUAACACUAACUGGAGGACCGAACCGACUAAUGUUGAAAAAUUAGCGGAUGACUUGUGGCUGGGGGUGAAAGGCCAAUCAAACCGGGAGAUAGCUGGUUCUCCCCGAAAGCUAUUUAGGUAGCGCCUCGUGAACUCAUCUUCGGGGGUAGAGCACUGUUUCGGCUAGGGGGUCAUCCCGACUUACCAACCCGAUGCAAACUACGAAUACCGAAGAAUGUUAUCACGGGAGACACACGGCGGGUGCUAACGUCCGUCGUGAAGAGGGAAACAACCCAGACCGCCAGCUAAGGUCCCAAAGUCAUGGUUAAGUGGGAAACGAUGUGGGAAGGCACAGACAGCCAGGAUGUUGGCUUAGAAGCAGCCAUCAUUUAAAGAAAGCGUAAUAGCUCACUGGUCGAGUCGGCCUGCGCGGAAGAUGUAACGGGGCUAAACCAUGCACCGAAGCUGCGGCAGCGACACUAUGUGUUGUUGGGUAGGGGAGCGUUCUGUAAGCCUGCGAAGGUGUGCUGUGAGGCAUGCUGGAGGUAUCAGAAGUGCGAAUGCUGACAUAAGUAACGAUAAAGCGGGUGAAAAGCCCGCUCGCCGGAAGACCAAGGGUUCCUGUCCAACGUUAAUCGGGGCAGGGUGAGUCGACCCCUAAGGCGAGGCCGAAAGGCGUAGUCGAUGGGAAACAGGUUAAUAUUCCUGUACUUGGUGUUACUGCGAAGGGGGGACGGAGAAGGCUAUGUUAGCCGGGCGACGGUUGUCCCGGUUUAAGCAUGUAGGCUGGUUAUCCAGGCAAAUCCGGAUAAUCAAGGCUGAGGUGUGAUGACGAGGCACUACGGUGCUGAAGUAACAAAUGCCCUGCUUCCAGGAAAAGCCUCUAAGCAUCAGGUAACAUCAAAUCGUACCCCAAACCGACACAGGUGGUCAGGUAGAGAAUACCAAGGCGCUUGAGAGAACUCGGGUGAAGGAACUAGGCAAAAUGGUGCCGUAACUUCGGGAGAAGGCACGCUGGUGUGUAGGUGAAGUCCCUGCGGAUGGAGCUGAGACCAGUCGAAGAUACCAGCUGGCUGCAACUGUUUAUUAAAAACACAGCACUGUGCAAACACGAAAGUGGACGUAUACGGUGUGACGCCUGCCCGGUGCCGGAAGGUUAAUUGAUGGGGUUAUCCGUAAGGAGAAGCUCUUGAUCGAAGCCCCGGUAAACGGCGGCCGUAACUAUAACGGUCCUAAGGUAGCGAAAUUCCUUGUCGGGUAAGUUCCGACCUGCACGAAUGGCGUAAUGAUGGCCAGGCUGUCUCCACCCGAGACUCAGUGAAAUUGAACUCGCUGUGAAGAUGCAGUGUACCCGCGGCAAGACGGAAAGACCCCGUGAACCUUUACUAUAGCUUGACACUGAACAUUGAGCCUUGAUGUGUAGGAUAGGUGGGAGGCUUUGAAGCGUGGACGCCAGUCUGCGUGGAGCCAACCUUGAAAUACCACCCUUUAAUGUUUGAUGUUCUAACGUUGGCCCCUGACCGGGGUUGCGGACAGUGUCUGGUGGGUAGUUUGACUGGGGCGGUCUCCUCCCAAAGCGUAACGGAGGAGCACGAAGGUUAGCUAAUCCUGGUCGGACAUCAGGAGGUUAGUGCAAUGGCAUAAGCUAGCUUGACUGCGAGCGUGACGGCGCGAGCAGGUGCGAAAGCAGGUCAUAGUGAUCCGGUGGUUCUGAAUGGAAGGGCCAUCGCUCAACGGAUAAAAGGUACUCCGGGGAUAACAGGCUGAUACCGCCCAAGAGUUCAUAUCGACGGCGGUGUUUGGCACCUCGAUGUCGGCUCAUCACAUCCUGGGGCUGAAGUAGGUCCCAAGGGUAUGGCUGUUCGCCAUUUAAAGUGGUACGCGAGCUGGGUUUAGAACGUCGUGAGACAGUUCGGUCCCUAUCUGCCGUGGGCGCUGGAGAAUUGAGGGGGGCUGCUCCUAGUACGAGAGGACCGGAGUGGACGCAUCACUGGUGUUCGGGUUGUCAUGCCAAUGGCACUGCCCGGUAGCUAAAUGCGGAAGAGAUAAGUGCUGAAAGCAUCUAAGCACGAAACUUGCCCCGAGAUGAGUUCUCCCUGAGACUUUAAGUCUCCUGAAGGAACGUUGAAGACGACGACGUUGAUAGGCCGGGUGUGUAAGCGCAGCGAUGCGUUGAGCUAACCGGUACUAAUGAACCGUGAGGCUUAACCUU
RNAcentral lists this ribosomal RNA (2567 nucleotides) under Klebsiella pneumoniae CHS 09. RNAcentral describes it as "bacterial LSU rRNA". It matches the Rfam family "Bacterial large subunit ribosomal RNA", at positions 373 to 2925 of the family's 2925-position model. Lineage: Bacteria; Pseudomonadati; Pseudomonadota; Gammaproteobacteria; Enterobacterales; Enterobacteriaceae. The record is from RNAcentral.